UAGAACCCAGACCCCAUCGUGACUUCAUAAUGACAUCACUGAGCCUGGCUCUGAAUAAGUGACAAGUAGAAGACCAUUCUGCAUGACCCCUGCAGCAGUCUGAGAGUCUGCCCUGUAGCAACUUCCUUUGAAUUGAAGCAUUUCACGCUAGAGGGAAGCCUAAGAAAACCCAGAAAGUUCUACAAGAAGGAUCACAAGCAACUUCAAAUGUUCAGGAAGUCCUUUCCUUCCCCAAGGCUAUAAAAGCAGUAAGGAGAGCUGCAGAGCCUCUCUGACUUUGGAGCUAUCUGGAAGAUAUGCUGUGAACCCCAGGCUUCCAGAUGUCAUGAGCUGUCAGUCAUGCAGGGGUAGGCUUCAGUGAUGCUGUCUUUGAGUCACUUCUGUGACUCGUAAGUAACUCCUCAUUCACAAUCCUUUAAGCAACCCCAAUAAACUCCUUGAUUCACC
RNAcentral lists this long non-coding RNA (447 nucleotides) under Rattus norvegicus (Norway rat). Its description in RNAcentral is "long non-coding RNA NONRATT029308". Lineage: Eukaryota; Metazoa; Chordata; Mammalia; Rodentia; Muridae. The record is from RNAcentral.